GACGAACCGUGCGAACGUUAUUCGGAAUCACUGGGCUUAAAGCGCGUGUAGGCGGGACGGCACGUCGGUCGCUGAAAUCCCCCGGCUCAACCGGGGAACGGGCGCCGAUACGACCGCCCUGGAGGGACGUAGGGGGACCUGGAACUUCCGGUGGAGCGGUGAAAUGCGUUGAGAUCGGAAGGAACGCCCGUGGCGAAAGCGAGGUCCUGGACGUUUUCUGACGCUGAGGCACGAAAGCUAGGGUAGCGAACGGG
Molecule: ribosomal RNA, 254 nt
Filed under: uncultured bacterium
Lineage: Bacteria
Description: partial 16S ribosomal RNA
Rfam family: Bacterial small subunit ribosomal RNA
Source: RNAcentral